Molecule: long non-coding RNA, 533 nt
Filed under: Mytilus galloprovincialis (Mediterranean mussel)
Lineage: Eukaryota; Metazoa; Mollusca; Bivalvia; Mytilida; Mytilidae
Source: RNAcentral
GUCAGUUUUGUAAAUUUGUUGUAUGUUUGUGCUGUAUGUUUACAAUUUGAUUGUUACAAUAAACAAUUAUAUAAAUACAUGUCUGUUUGGGUUGCUCAUCCAAAAUCAAUAUAAAGGAACUAAAAACAACUGUCAUAUGAGUGUUAGGUUUAGUAACCUAUAAAACCAGGUUUAAUCCACCAUGUUUUGUACGACCACAGGAAUAUAACAGUAGUUCUUCAUUAGUUCCUAUAGUUGAUACAGUUGUUUUACAUACACUACACAUACAGUUAAUUAAAUUAAUCGAAUAGAAAUGUAAAAUAAAAACUUUUUGAUCAUACAUUGUUCAUGCCCCAGCAUUGUACCUAAAAUAAGAGAUACCAUUCACAGAUCUUUGACAUAAUCAAUUUUUAUCUCUGAUCACAAAUUUUUUUGACAGGAUCUCUCAUUUCCUUCCUGAAUAAAAUACAACCUUUUCCCGAAAAUUUUUAAAUGGAUUUUUUUUAAGAAUUGAAUGCUUUUUUUUGUAAAUUUAUUGGGAUGUAAUGUAAAAG